This 629-nucleotide ribosomal RNA is filed under the name uncultured bacterium. Its description in RNAcentral is "bacterial SSU rRNA". It matches the Rfam family "Bacterial small subunit ribosomal RNA", at positions 16 to 636 of the family's 1533-position model. The record is from RNAcentral.
AUCAUGGCUCAGAUUGAACGCUGGCGGCAGGCCUAACACAUGCAAGUCGAACGGUAGCACAGAGAGCUUGCUCUCGGGUGACGAGUGGCGGACGGGUGAGUAAUGUCUGGGAAACUGCCUGAUGGAGGGGGAUAACUACUGGAAACGGUAGCUAAUACCGCAUAACGUCGCAAGACCAAAGAGGGGGACCUUCGGGCCUCUUGCCAUCAGAUGUGCCCAGAUGGGAUUAGCUAGUAGGUGGGGUAACGGCUCACCUAGGCGACGAUCCCUAGCUGGUCUGAGAGGAUGACCAGCCACACUGGAACUGAGACACGGUCCAGACUCCUACGGGAGGCAGCAGUGGGGAAUAUUGCACAAUGGGCGCAAGCCUGAUGCAGCCAUGCCGCGUGUAUGAAGAAGGCCUUCGGGUUGUAAAGUACUUUCAGCGGGGAGGAAGGUGUUGUGGUUAAUAACCACAGCAAUUGACGUUACCCGCAGAAGAAGCACCGGCUAACUCCGUGCCAGCAGCCGCGGUAAUACGGAGGGUGCAAGCGUUAAUCGGAAUUACUGGGCGUAAAGCGCACGCANGCGGUCUGUCAAGUCGGAUGUGAAAUCCCCGGGCUCAACCUGGGAACUGCAUUCGAAACUGG